Molecule: ribosomal RNA, 485 nt
Filed under: uncultured bacterium
Lineage: Bacteria
Description: partial 16S ribosomal RNA
Rfam family: Bacterial small subunit ribosomal RNA
Source: RNAcentral
AUUGAACGCUGGCGGCAUGCCUUACACAUGCAAGUCGAACGGCAGCGGGCCCUUCGGGGUGCCGGCGAGUGGCGAACGGGUGAGUAAUGCAUCGGAACGUACCCGGGAGAGGGGGAUAACCGGCCGAAAGGCUGGCUAAUACCGCAUGAACUCGGAAGAGCAAAGCGGGGGACCUUCGGGCCUCGCGCUCUCGGAGCGGCCGAUGUCCGAUUAGGCUAGUUGGUGGGGUAAAGGCCCACCAAGGCGACGAUCGGUAGCGGGUCUGAGAGGACGAUCCGCCACACUGGGACUGAGACACGGCCCAGACUCCUACGGGAGGCAGCAGUGGGGAAUCUUGGACAAUGGGCGCAAGCCUGAUCCAGCAAUGCCGCGUGGGUGAAGAAGGCCUUCGGAUUGUAAAGCCCUUUCGGCGGGGAAGAAAUCGGUCAGGCGAAUAGUCUGGCCGGAUGACGGUACCCGCAGAAGAAGCACCGGCUAACUACGUG